Molecule: ribosomal RNA, 520 nt
Filed under: uncultured bacterium
Lineage: Bacteria
Description: bacterial SSU rRNA
Rfam family: Bacterial small subunit ribosomal RNA
Source: RNAcentral
AGGAGUUUGAUCCUGGCUUAGGAUGAACGCUAGCUACAGGCUUAACACAUGCAAGUCGAGGGGCAGCAUGUGGUUGCUUGCACGAUGAUGGCGACCGGCGCACGGGUGAGUAACGCGUAUCCAACCUUCCCUAUAGUAGAGGAUAGCCCGGCGAAAGUCGGAUUAAUACUCUAUGUUGUUCAAUGCAGACAUCUAAGUUGAAUCAAAGGUUCACCGCUAUAGGAUGGGGAUGCGUCUGAUUAGGUAGUCGGCGGGGUAACGGCCCACCGAGCCAUCGAUCAGUAGGGGUUCUGAGAGGAAGGUCCCCCACAUUGGAACUGAGACACGGUCCAAACUCCUACGGGAGGCAGCAGUGAGGAAUAUUGGUCAAUGGGCGAGAGCCUGAACCAGCCAAAGUAGCGUGCAGGAUGACGGCCCUAUGGGUUGUAAACUGCUUUUAUACAGGGAUAAAGUCGGGGACGUGUCCCCGUUUGUAGGUACUGUAUGAAUAAGGACCGGCUAAUUCCGUGCCAGCCGCCGC